GCCAGGUGUGGUGGUGCACCCCUGUAAUUCCAGCAGCUUGGGAGGCUGAGGCAGGAGGAUCGCAAGUUCAAAGUCAGCCUCAGCAAAAGCAAGGCGCUAAGCAACUCAGUGAGACCCAGUCUAUA
This 125-nucleotide small RNA is filed under the name Marmota monax (woodchuck). Lineage: Eukaryota; Metazoa; Chordata; Mammalia; Rodentia; Sciuridae. The record is from RNAcentral.